RNAcentral lists this unclassified non-coding RNA (348 nucleotides) under soil metagenome. RNAcentral describes it as "partial contains 5.8S ribosomal RNA, internal transcribed spacer 2, and large subunit ribosomal RNA". The stretch from base 1 to 120 matches the Rfam family "5.8S ribosomal RNA", at positions 35 to 154 of the family's 154-position model. The record is from RNAcentral.
GAUGAAGAACGCAGCGAAAUGCGAUAAGUAAUGUGAAUUGCAGAAUUCAGUGAAUCAUCGAGUCUUUGAACGCACAUUGCGCCCCCUGAUAUUCCGGGGGGCAUGCCUGUCCGAGCGUCAUUGCCGCCCUCAAGCACGGCUUGUGUGUUGGGCCCCCGCCCCCCGGCUUCGGGGGGCGGGCCCGAAAGGCAGCGGCGGCACCGCGUCCGGUCCUCGAGCGUAUGGGGCUUCGUCACCCGCUCUGUAGGCCCGGCCGGCGCCCGCCGGCGACCCCAAUCAAUCUUUCCAGGUUGACCUCGGAUCAGGUAGGGAUACCCGCUGAACUUAAGCAUAUCAAUAAGCGGAGGA